RNAcentral lists this transfer RNA (76 nucleotides) under Halorhodospira halochloris. Its description in RNAcentral is "tRNA-Lys". It matches the Rfam family "tRNA". From Rfam's summary of the family: Transfer RNA (tRNA) molecules are approximately 80 nucleotides in length. The record is from RNAcentral. Lineage: Bacteria; Pseudomonadati; Pseudomonadota; Gammaproteobacteria; Chromatiales; Ectothiorhodospiraceae.
GGGCCGUUAGCUCAGUUGGUAGAGCAUCGGACUUUUAAUCCGCUGGUCGGAGGUUCGAAUCCUCCACGGCCCACCA